Molecule: small nucleolar RNA, 137 nt
Organism: Nematolebias whitei (Rio pearlfish)
Lineage: Eukaryota; Metazoa; Chordata; Actinopteri; Cyprinodontiformes; Rivulidae
Product: small nucleolar RNA SNORA5
Exons: 1
Source: RefSeq, a predicted model, not a curated record
UGCAGCUUUGUCAAAUUCGGUGCUCCCUCGUCAGUAGGCUGCAUCGGCCAAAAUGGCUGCAACAGUGAUUCUGUAGCUCAUGGGCCCCGCUUCUCUGUACUGUGAACUGUGGGGAUAGAUUUGGUCUACAGACAGAA